AAACGUAAGCUACUUUUGGAAAUAAGCGAUUCUAAGAAGGAUUUAAAAGCUACUCAAAUUUGGUUUUACUUGAGAAUUUAAGAUCUGAACCUCUAUUCAAACCAUCCUAUUUUUCUUUGCUCAGUCAAUUUCAGAAUCAUCCAACAAUUCAAUGGGGAAAUUCUCCGGGGCUCCAUUUUAUAUUAUGAGUCAACAUCUGAUGGAGAUAUUCAUCAUAGUAACUUGAGAUUUUGGUCAUAUGAGAAAGAUGGUGGUGCAUCAAAAAUUUGGAAAAAAGCUUCUGAUUUGGGUAUUAGACGAGGUGGUGAUGAGGCGAUCAUUGCGAAGAUUAGGCGCUUGGAAUCGAGGGAUGUCAAAGUGCAAAUUCAAAAGGACAUAAACAAAUCUGUUUCAACAUGAGUUUGUUAUCUUUUAAUAUAUGAGGGGCAUUAGUUAUUCAAAAAAGCGGGUUAUUUGGAACUUCAUUAGCUUUGGGAAAGUAGAUUUAUGUAUGUUGCAAGAGACUAAGAUGCCAAAAAUGGAGAAUUUCUUAGCUCAACAGUUUUGGGGAAACACUGAAGUUAUAUGGAGUGCGAAGAAUGCUGUUGGGAGAUUAGGAGGUAUGCUUUUGUUAUGGAAUCCUGUUUUGUUUGAGGCUUAACUUAGUUUUGUGGGAGAGGGAUUUAUUGGAAUCAAGGUAGUUUGGAAAGGGAUUCGCUAAAUUUAUUGGUGACAUGGACUUGGUGGAUUUAUCGGCAUUUGGGAACAAACUCUCUUGUUUCAAUUUGGUUAGGUAUUCAAUGAGUCAUUUAGACUGAUUAUGAAGGCCUAGUUGAUGCGUGGGGAUCAAGGGAGAAUCUAUUGAUAAUCGCAACAUUUCAGAUCAUUGUCCUAUUUCUAUUAAAUCUAGAUUGAUGAAUUGGGGUCCUAAGUCGUUAAAUUUUUUUCGGCUUGGAUUGAGCAUCCGAUUUUUUGCCGUUGGUUGAAGAAGUUUGGAGUUCUACUAUCACUCAUGGCCGUAAAUUGUAUUGUUUUAAGGAAAAUAUCAAGGUUCUUAAGAGUAGACUGAAGUCGUGGGAUGCAAAGGUAUUUGGUUUUUAGGAUUUACAAGUUGAUCUUGCUUUUAAGGAGAUUAGCUGUUCUGACUAGUUGGUAGCUGACGGUGAUGAUGUUGUAGAAACAACAUAUUUUCUUUCUAAUAAGAUGGAGGUUCAUACUCAGGUUUGGGAUAAGCUGCACAUUUGAGAAUCCAUGAUCAAGCAGAAAUCUAGAUGUCGUUGGUUAAAGGAUGGAUACCAAAAUUCCAAAUUUUUUCAUUCAUUCAUGAAAUAUAGGUACCUUCGUAACAACAUUGUUGGCUUUAAGCAUGGGGAAGUUGUUGUUGAUGAUAUUGAAGGAGUUAACCAACAGUUUCUUGAGCAUUUUCAAGACCGUUUUCAAGAGAAGUUUCCCAAAAGACCUUUACUUGAGGGUGUCUCUUUCAAUGAACUUUAUGAUGUUGAUAGAGAUGGUUUGGAAGAUUCUUUCACUAUAUAGGAUACAACAAAUGUUAUCUGGAAUGCAGAAAGCGGAAAAGUCAUGGUCCAUAUGUUUUUUUAAUGGAGUUCUAUAAAGCAUGUUGGGAUAUUAUUAAACUUGACCUAUUUGAUUGUAUUUAUGAAAUCUUUUUACAGGCUCA
Long non-coding RNA from Lathyrus oleraceus (garden pea), 1657 nucleotides. RefSeq lists it as uncharacterized. The transcript is spliced from 2 exons. Lineage: Eukaryota; Viridiplantae; Streptophyta; Magnoliopsida; Fabales; Fabaceae. The record is from RefSeq and is a predicted model, not a curated record.